RNAcentral lists this ribosomal RNA (1550 nucleotides) under Klebsiella pneumoniae. Its description in RNAcentral is "bacterial SSU rRNA". It matches the Rfam family "Bacterial small subunit ribosomal RNA". Lineage: Bacteria; Pseudomonadati; Pseudomonadota; Gammaproteobacteria; Enterobacterales; Enterobacteriaceae. The record is from RNAcentral.
AAAUUGAAGAGUUUGAUCAUGGCUCAGAUUGAACGCUGGCGGCAGGCCUAACACAUGCAAGUCGAGCGGUAGCACAGAGAGCUUGCUCUCGGGUGACGAGCGGCGGACGGGUGAGUAAUGUCUGGGAAACUGCCUGAUGGAGGGGGAUAACUACUGGAAACGGUAGCUAAUACCGCAUAACGUCGCAAGACCAAAGUGGGGGACCUUCGGGCCUCAUGCCAUCAGAUGUGCCCAGAUGGGAUUAGCUAGUAGGUGGGGUAACGGCUCACCUAGGCGACGAUCCCUAGCUGGUCUGAGAGGAUGACCAGCCACACUGGAACUGAGACACGGUCCAGACUCCUACGGGAGGCAGCAGUGGGGAAUAUUGCACAAUGGGCGCAAGCCUGAUGCAGCCAUGCCGCGUGUGUGAAGAAGGCCUUCGGGUUGUAAAGCACUUUCAGCGGGGAGGAAGGCGUUAAGGUUAAUAACCUUAGCGAUUGACGUUACCCGCAGAAGAAGCACCGGCUAACUCCGUGCCAGCAGCCGCGGUAAUACGGAGGGUGCAAGCGUUAAUCGGAAUUACUGGGCGUAAAGCGCACGCAGGCGGUCUGUCAAGUCGGAUGUGAAAUCCCCGGGCUCAACCUGGGAACUGCAUUCGAAACUGGCAGGCUAGAGUCUUGUAGAGGGGGGUAGAAUUCCAGGUGUAGCGGUGAAAUGCGUAGAGAUCUGGAGGAAUACCGGUGGCGAAGGCGGCCCCCUGGACAAAGACUGACGCUCAGGUGCGAAAGCGUGGGGAGCAAACAGGAUUAGAUACCCUGGUAGUCCACGCCGUAAACGAUGUCGAUUUGGAGGUUGUGCCCUUGAGGCGUGGCUUCCGGAGCUAACGCGUUAAAUCGACCGCCUGGGGAGUACGGCCGCAAGGUUAAAACUCAAAUGAAUUGACGGGGGCCCGCACAAGCGGUGGAGCAUGUGGUUUAAUUCGAUGCAACGCGAAGAACCUUACCUGGUCUUGACAUCCACAGAACUUUCCAGAGAUGGAUUGGUGCCUUCGGGAACUGUGAGACAGGUGCUGCAUGGCUGUCGUCAGCUCGUGUUGUGAAAUGUUGGGUUAAGUCCCGCAACGAGCGCAACCCUUAUCCUUUGUUGCCAGCGGUCCGGCCGGGAACUCAAAGGAGACUGCCAGUGAUAAACUGGAGGAAGGUGGGGAUGACGUCAAGUCAUCAUGGCCCUUACGACCAGGGCUACACACGUGCUACAAUGGCAUAUACAAAGAGAAGCGACCUCGCGAGAGCAAGCGGACCUCAUAAAGUAUGUCGUAGUCCGGAUUGGAGUCUGCAACUCGACUCCAUGAAGUCGGAAUCGCUAGUAAUCGUAGAUCAGAAUGCUACGGUGAAUACGUUCCCGGGCCUUGUACACACCGCCCGUCACACCAUGGGAGUGGGUUGCAAAAGAAGUAGGUAGCUUAACCUUCGGGAGGGCGCUUACCACUUUGUGAUUCAUGACUGGGGUGAAGUCGUAACAAGGUAACCGUAGGGGAACCUGCGGUUGGAUCACCUCCUUACCUUAAAGAA